RNAcentral lists this ribosomal RNA (467 nucleotides) under uncultured bacterium. Its description in RNAcentral is "bacterial SSU rRNA". It matches the Rfam family "Bacterial small subunit ribosomal RNA", at positions 331 to 793 of the family's 1533-position model. The record is from RNAcentral.
CCAGACUCCUACGGGAGGCAGCAGUGAGGAAUAUUGGUCAAUGGCCGAGAGGCUGGACCAGCCAAGUCGCGUGAGGGAAGACGGCCCUACGGGUUGUAAACCUCUUUUGUCAGGGAACAAAGGCGGGGACGCGUCCCCGGAUGAGUGUACCUGAAGAAAAAGCAUCGGCUAACUACGUGCCAGCAGCCGCGGUCAUACGUAGGAUCCGAGCAUUAUCCGGAGUGACUGGGUGUAAAGAGUUGCGUAGGUGGCAUAAUAAGUAGCUAGUGAAAUCUGGUGGCUCAACCAUUCAGACUAUUAGCUAAACUGUUAAGCUCGAGACCGUUAGGGGUAACUGGAAUUUCUAGUGUAGGAGUGAAAUCCGUAGAUAUUAGAAGGAACACCAAUAGCGUAGGCAGGUUGCUGGGACGGUUCUGACACUAAGGCACGAAAGCGUAGGGAGCAAACGGGAUUAGAUACCCUGGUAC